CAUGGUCACCCCGCCGAGCGCGAGGAGGAGCAGCAGCUUGAGGCAGCACACCACCGACACCCUCACCAUGGCUCGCCCCGCCUAACCGACUUUAUAGCUASSCCGCGCGGCCAACCCCGAUUAGCUAGGUAGAGCAAGUGUCCACGCAGUUUGGCAGCCGGCGGAGGAAACUUGCAAGGGAGAACAACCAGCCAGCCGCCUAUAAUUACCGCCGACGGGGCGGGUGAAUUCGUUCUUGGCUUGCUGGAGGGUGCAACAGGAGCCGCCGCGGAGGGAGGGAGGGGGGAGCAAGCAACGGGAGAGUGGGUGGGGAUGGGAGGGAGGAGCGGGACGGAGGGGGAGAUUUAAAGGGCGCGGGAUGGCCGG
This 366-nucleotide long non-coding RNA is filed under the name Hordeum vulgare. RNAcentral's name for it is "long non-coding RNA (HVUL_LNC008152)". The record is from RNAcentral. Lineage: Eukaryota; Viridiplantae; Streptophyta; Magnoliopsida; Poales; Poaceae.